CAUAUCGUAGACAAGAAGUUGUCCUAUUUAGAAGUAGGCAGACAUUCGAAUCGUUUUCACAGGAUUUUAAUAAAAUGGGAUACCUGAAGGUAGCAGUCAAUACUUUUGUAACUUGUAUCAUUCUUGUCCAGGGAAUGGCUGAUCAGUGUACCACAGGUCCAAAUAUUGUAUUGCCAUGCAGUGAUAUGACGACACCAACCAGUCAUAUGUUUAUACCUGUUAAUGGUAGUAUACUUACAGAUGGAGACAAGGGUUGUAUAUGUGACGUCACCAUAGUAGAAGUGCCAGUCAACAGUAUCACGACUGAAGUCAGUGUUAGGAUUAUAGACAACAAUAUAAGGUGUGGAUUUCAAGUUACAGCUGGACGUCGUAUUAUCGAAUGCCAAAACCGGUCGUCUUCCUCUAAUAACAUCAAGUUAUACGAGUCUUUUAGUUUAACGUUCACCAGAGAUAACACACCUAAUCCAUCAUCUACAGCAGGUUUCUGUUUACAAGUUAUAACCCUAA
Patella vulgata (common limpet) is the source of this 507-nucleotide long non-coding RNA. RefSeq lists it as uncharacterized. Lineage: Eukaryota; Metazoa; Mollusca; Gastropoda; Patellidae. The record is from RefSeq and is a predicted model, not a curated record. The transcript is spliced from 3 exons.